UACGGAGGGUGCAAGCGUUAAUCGGAAUUACUGGGCGUAAAGCGAGUGUAGGCGGCAACGUAAGUCGGAUGUGAAAUCCCUGGGCUCAACCUGGGAAUGGCAUUCGAAACUGCGUAGCUAGAGUUUGACAGAGGGAUGUGGAAUUCCGGGUGUAGCGGUGAAAUGCGUAGAUAUCCGGAGGAACACCAGUGGCGAAGGCGGCAUCCUGGGUCAGAACUGACGCUGAGGCUCGAAAGCGUGGGGAGCAAACAGG
This 253-nucleotide ribosomal RNA is filed under the name uncultured bacterium. RNAcentral describes it as "partial 16S ribosomal RNA". It matches the Rfam family "Bacterial small subunit ribosomal RNA", at positions 524 to 776 of the family's 1533-position model. The record is from RNAcentral.